This 646-nucleotide ribosomal RNA is filed under the name uncultured bacterium. Its description in RNAcentral is "bacterial SSU rRNA". It matches the Rfam family "Bacterial small subunit ribosomal RNA", at positions 8 to 645 of the family's 1533-position model. The record is from RNAcentral.
AGAGUUUGAUCCUGGCUCAGGAUGAACGCUGGCGGCAUGCCUAAUACAUGCAAGUCGAACGAGGGUCCUUCGGGAUCCUAGUGGCGAACGGGUGAGUAACACGUAGGGAACCUGCCCGCGCACCGGGAAUACGCUCUGGAAACGGAGAACAAAUCCCGAUGUACAGGAAGGAGGCAUCUUCUUUCUGUGAAACAUCCUGUAAGGGAUGGGGCGCGGAUGGACCUGCGGUGCAUUAGUUGGUUGGCGAGGGUAAAGGCCCACCAAGACGAUGAUGCAUAGCCGGCCUGAGAGGGCGGACGGCCACAUUGGGACUGAGACACGGCCCAGACUCCUGCGGGAGGCAGCAGUAGGGAAUUUUCGUCAAUGGGCGCAAGCCUGAACGAGCGAUGCCGCGUGAGUGAAGAAGGCCUUCGGGUCGUAAAGCUCUGUUGCGGGGGAAAAAAGGCAUCUGCAGGAAAUGGUAGAUGACAGAUGGUGCCCCGCCAGAAAGUCACGGCUAACUACGUGCCAGCAGCCGCGGUAAUACGUAGGUGGCGAGCGUUAUCCGGAAUGAUUGGGCGUAAAGGGUGCGCAGGCGGUCCUGCAAGUCUGGAGUGAAACGUAUGAGCUCAACUCAUGCUUGGCUCUGGAAACUGGAGGAACUGGA